This is a long non-coding RNA of Mandrillus leucophaeus (drill), 339 nucleotides long. RefSeq lists it as uncharacterized. The record is from RefSeq and is a predicted model, not a curated record. Lineage: Eukaryota; Metazoa; Chordata; Mammalia; Primates; Cercopithecidae. The transcript is spliced from 2 exons.
GUGAAGAAUAUUAGCAAAGGCACCGAGAAGGAAUAAUCGUGGCCUGUUUAUCAAACGGGACUAUGCAUCAUUUCCCUGGCUAUAUUGAUUUUAAAAAGCAAGAAGAAAUUUACUGGCAGAUCUGAUCACCCUUCUGAGGGAGCAAUCAAGUAAGACAGCAUGUAGCCCCUGGAGACUGCUAGAAAUCAUCAUGUGGCCCUAAGGAGGGCCAGCCUAACAAUGAAGCAGAAAGAGGGGUGGUGAGAUUACUGAACUUUUGAGUCAAGUCACAUCCAAAGCCCAUGUGACCUCUGAUCUUUUCAGAUAAAUGAGUUAUUAAAUAUUUUAUUUAAACCAGUG